GCGCAUGUGGCGGAAUUGGCAGACGCACCAGACUUAGGAUCUGGCGCCUUUGGCGUGGGGGUUCAAGUCCCUCCAUGCGCACCA
This 84-nucleotide transfer RNA is filed under the name Paenibacillus sabuli. RNAcentral's name for it is "Paenibacillus sp. IB182496 tRNA-Leu". It matches the Rfam family "tRNA". Rfam says of the family: Transfer RNA (tRNA) molecules are approximately 80 nucleotides in length. Their secondary structure includes four short double-helical elements and three loops (D, anti-codon, and T loops). The record is from RNAcentral. Lineage: Bacteria; Bacillati; Bacillota; Bacilli; Caryophanales; Paenibacillaceae.